Molecule: non-coding RNA, 654 nt
Organism: Salmo salar (Atlantic salmon)
Lineage: Eukaryota; Metazoa; Chordata; Actinopteri; Salmoniformes; Salmonidae
Source: RefSeq, a predicted model, not a curated record
CGCGCUGCCCUCAAACCAAAGCACGCAGACUGUUUUUAUUUAUAGGCUGUUUCAACUUCAAUUUCAAAUGAUUUUCUAACAAGUUUUUAUUUUCUAAGAACAGUUUGAAUUUAGGUGUGUUCCGCCUCCUCAAUCAUUCACAUAAAAAUAGUCAUUUUUACUUUUGCGGACAAUUACAUUUUUGGGACAUUUCUGACCCGGACAAAAUUCCCCAAGCACUUUCCAAUUGUUUGUGCAGUUCAAGUCUGCAGACAUUUGCUAAUCUCCCGUCAGAAAAGGAUCUGCACACGUGUUCACAUUUUCCAUCUGUUGCCCUCAUUGUUUUCGUUACUAAUAAUAACUUUGGAAAUGUGUGCGUUUCUAUCAAAUGGCGCAGCGGUCAAAGGCACAGCACGGUGCUAGAGACGUCACUACAGACUCCCUGGUUCAAAUCCAUGCUGCGUUUCUAAAAACCACAAACAGUAUUUGCCAAUAUCAUAACUGGACAUCUUUCGAGCUGAAGAUUGAGGACAGCUUUUGUAUGCUAACGUUCUCUCCUUAACAGUUUUACUGGAUGGAAACACAGCAAGAAAACACAUAGGCCAAUAUGUAAUAGUCGUCUAUUUUAUUGAAGUAUUGGUAGUUGGUUCAACAACAACUUGUUUUACUAGAGGA